This 388-nucleotide ribosomal RNA is filed under the name uncultured bacterium. RNAcentral's name for it is "bacterial SSU rRNA". It matches the Rfam family "Bacterial small subunit ribosomal RNA", at positions 28 to 417 of the family's 1533-position model. The record is from RNAcentral.
GACGAACGCUGGCGGCGUGCUUAACACAUGCAAGUCGAGCGGUAAGGCCCUUUCGGGGGUACACGAGCGGCGAACGGGUGAGUAACACGUGGGUGACCUGCCCUCAGCUCUGGGAUAAGCCUGGGAAACCGGGUCUAAUACUGGAUAUGACUCCAUGACGCAUGUUGUGGGGUGGAAAGCCUUGUGCGGCUGAGGAUGGGCCCGCGGCCUAUCAGCUUGUUGGUGGGGUGANGGCCUACCAAGGCGACGACGGGUAGCCGGCCUGAGAGGGCGACCGGCCACACUGGGACUGAGACACGGCCCAGACACCUACGGGAGGCAGCAGUGGGGAAUCUUGCGCAAUGGGCGAAAGCCUGACGCAGCGACGCCGCGUGAGGGAUGACGGCCU